AUGAGACUGUAUAGGCAGGUAAGUGCAUUACCAGUCCCAAAUAUCCUCUGCACAGUCAUGAAAAGGGAGGUAGGUGGGGGAUGGGAUCCUAGGACACUGCAUUUAGGCACAUUAACAGUCCCUUGUAUCCCCCUUAGUAAUGCAAAUGGAGUAGGAGGGCAUGGAAAUCUCAACAGAAGAGACUGUAGCUCUAAUUGAGUCCAUUAACUAUUUCGAGUAACCUUGCAGUCAUGCAAUGAACACAGGUAAAUGUAAAAGACUGUAAAUGCAUUUAAGCACGUUAACAGUCUUGGUUACUCUAUGUGGUACUACAAAUCCAGUAAGAAAGAAACUGACGCUAGGUUAACAGGAGGGACUGAAGCUCCAGUUAAGCCCAAGUACCCUCUCAUUAAAACAGAGUUAGGUGGGGAUAGAGUCGGUCCCAGGUAAACAUAACAGACUGUGGAUGCAUUUAAGCACAGCAAGUCUCUUGUACACUCUGGGGUAAUGCAAAUUGACUAGGAGAAAUGGGGUUCUAGACUCAAUAGAAAGGACAGCAGUGCAUUUAAGUCCAUUAACAAGUCCUUGUAGGCUCUUCAGUAAUACAAAGGGAGUUAGGUGGGGAUGGGAUCCUAGAUUAAUAGAAAGGACUGUAGCUAGAUUUAAACACAUUAACAGUCCCAGUUACCUUAUGUGGUAAUACAAAUCCAGUAAGAACGAAAAUGAUUCUAGAUUAACAAAAGGGACUGUGGCUGCAGUAAAGCACAUUAACAGUCCCUUAUACCCUCUUUCAUAAUGCAAAUUAGUAGGAGAUCAUGGGAAAGUAGGCCAACAGAUGAGACUGUAUAGGCAGGUAAGUGCAUUACCAGUCCCAAAUACCCUCUGCAGUCAUGAAACAGUUAGCUGGGGAUAGAAUCCUGUAUUAACAUAAGAGAUUGUAGCUGCUUUUAAGCACAUUAACAGUCUAUGUAUCCAGUGUUAAUGCAAACCAUGUAGGAGUGGAUGGAAACCUAGACUAAUAGAAGGAACUAGCUACUUUUACGGAGAAGGCAAUGGCACCCCCACUCCAGUACUCUUCUGGAAAAUCCCAUGGAUGGAGGAGCCUGGUAGGCUGCAGUCCAUGGGGUCGCUAAGAGUCAGACAUGACUGAGCGACUUUACUUUCACUUUUCACUUUCAUGCAUUGGAGAAGGAAAUGGCAACCCACUCCAGUGUUCUUG
Molecule: long non-coding RNA, 1198 nt
Filed under: Bos indicus x Bos taurus (hybrid cattle)
Lineage: Eukaryota; Metazoa; Chordata; Mammalia; Artiodactyla; Bovidae
Description: lncRNA (ENSBIXG00005025864.1)
Source: RNAcentral